UACGGAGGUGGCGAGCGUUGUCCGAAGUUACUGGGCGUAAAGCGCGUGUAGGCUGUCUCGCAAGUCGGGUGUGAAAGCCCUGGGCUCAACCUAGGAAGUGCACUCGAAACUGCGAGACUUGAGUCCUGGAGAGGAAGGCGGAAUUCUCGGUGUAGAGGUGAAAUUCGUAGAUAUCGAGAGGAACACCGGUGGCGAAGGCGGCCUUCUGGACAGUGACUGACGCUGAGACGCGAAAGCGUGGGGAGCAAACAGG
This 253-nucleotide ribosomal RNA is filed under the name uncultured bacterium. RNAcentral describes it as "partial 16S ribosomal RNA". It matches the Rfam family "Bacterial small subunit ribosomal RNA", at positions 524 to 776 of the family's 1533-position model. The record is from RNAcentral.